RNAcentral lists this ribosomal RNA (444 nucleotides) under uncultured bacterium. Its description in RNAcentral is "bacterial SSU rRNA". It matches the Rfam family "Bacterial small subunit ribosomal RNA", at positions 331 to 793 of the family's 1533-position model. The record is from RNAcentral.
CCAGACUCCUACGGGAGGCAGCAGUAGGGAAUCUUUCACAAUGGGCGAAAGCCUGAUGGAGCAACGCCGCGUGCAGGAUGAAGGCCUUCGGGUUGUAAACUGCUAUUAUAAGCGAGAAAUAUGAUGGUAACUUAUGAAUAAGGAUCGGCUAACUCCGUGCCAGCAGCCGCGGUAAUACGGAGGAUGCGAGCGUUAUCCGGAUUUAUUGGGUUUAAAGGGUGCGUAGGCGGACAGUCAAGUCAGCGGUAAAAAUGCGGUGCUCAACGCCGUACAGCCGUUGAAACUGGCAGUCUUGAGUGGGCGAGAAGUAUGCGGAAUGCGUGGGGUAGCGGUGAAAUGCAUAGAUAUCACGCAGAACUCCGAUUGCGAAGGCAGCAUACCGGCGCCCGACUGACGCUGAGGCACGAAAGCGUGGGUAUCGAACAGGAUUAGAUACCCCUGUAC